GCCCUCUUAGUUUAAUAGUAAAACAGGGUCUUGGUAAGACUCAGCCACUGGAGCGUAACCAGUAGAGGGCACCA
RNAcentral lists this transfer RNA (74 nucleotides) under Alphaproteobacteria bacterium. RNAcentral describes it as "tRNA-Thr". It matches the Rfam family "tRNA". Rfam says of the family: Transfer RNA (tRNA) molecules are approximately 80 nucleotides in length. Their secondary structure includes four short double-helical elements and three loops (D, anti-codon, and T loops). The record is from RNAcentral. Lineage: Bacteria; Pseudomonadati; Pseudomonadota; Alphaproteobacteria.